Contarinia nasturtii (swede midge) is the source of this 2206-nucleotide long non-coding RNA. RefSeq lists it as uncharacterized. The transcript is spliced from 3 exons. The record is from RefSeq and is a predicted model, not a curated record. NCBI's taxonomy places the organism in Eukaryota, Metazoa, Arthropoda, Insecta, Diptera, Cecidomyiidae.
UUAAAAUACCGGGAACCUAUAAAUUCAUCAAAAAUAAUAUAUUGCUGAACCAACAGAUUCUAGAGUAUAAAUAUAAGAGAGAUGUUCGGUAUACUAUCACUCGAUCAUGAUGGCUGGAAAGAAACGGAAGCCUGCAGCAUCGUCUUCGGAAGUUUUUUGAGCACCAAAAUGCGACCAAGCAACAGAUCAACGACACCAUGGAAUAUCUAUUUCAAAAGAAAUUAGAGCGCGUACCAGAUCCGUUUCUAAUUGAAAUACUAAGAAAUGAAUUGCAUCCAAUUCGUUUCGGAGAUGGUCAACCAUAUUUUUGUACGAUGAUGACGGGAGGCAAUUUGUUCAAAUACGUACCAAUAUUUCUACAUUUGCAACGGUACAUUCGUGAUCACCAACGAAAUAGAGAGGCGGCAUUGUGACGAGGUGAAAGAACAGAGCUCCGUGAUUACAGAAAUUUCACCGUUUUUCCAUUUUCAACGUUUAAAAAACAUCAAAUUCGCAUCGAUAAGCAAGGUCUUUAUUCCAUGCUGAGAGCGAUCGAAUGCCCACACCCACGGCUCAUUAGACGUGAUGGAACACCAAAGCAGUAUAAGGAAUUAAAAUCCGCUGAUUGGAACGUGCUUUGGCGAACGUAUUUUGAUAUUGAUGCCAUCGAAAGAACACCGCAAAAUGACAAUCGUGCCACUAUAAAAUUCCAAAGUUCGAUUCAAACGGAUGGAGUGGCUAUGUCAUUCUGGAUGGAACGCACAAAUUCAUUGUUGCCAAAGAUGAAAAUGAAAUCAUGCGAGAGACUCAACAAAAAUUAUUGAAAGCGCAACAAGUGUAUGGUCUCGAUCCAGGUCUUCGGCUGGUGAUUGGCGGUGUUUGUGUGACCAAUUACAAUGAUCCGAAAAAGGAAAAUCGCCGCGAAAAACUCGUUCGAUUGACGUCGGGUCAAUAUAAUCACAUGAUCGGCUAUCGCUACCCAUAUAACUCAUUUGCGGAGUAAUUUUGUCGAUGGCGGGACUGUGCGAAGUUCGGCGCAGAUAGCAUGCAAAUGCUGUGUGUACGAGUGCAACAGCAUUCUUUGCUGUUCAUAGAUUUAUUUUAUCCAAACGAACAUCUUAGUAGCCGUACACACAGCUAAGUUACUAAUCAUCUGCGAUUAUCUGCGUAAGAAUGAUACACAUAGAAGUGCUGUUACCCUCGUACACACAGAGUUUGUAUGUCAUCUCCGCUAAACUCCGCACAGUCCCGCCAUCGUCAAAAUUACUCCGCAAAUGAAUUAUAUGGGUAGCGAAAUAAAUAGCGCGAAAAGUUGACUUUCAACAUCGACGAAAAAAUGCGUAUUCACCGAGAAUCUUUUGAUGAGAAACCAGGUCCACAUUCAGACAACAUUGAUAGAUAUGUCGAUCAUAUUUUACGGCAUUUCAAUGAGAAGUUUGAAACUGCUUGUACGAAUAUGCACUUCAAGAUUUCCUACAGUACAUCGAUACGAAUAAGAUACUCGAUGAGUUGGCAGACUGGUUGAUCGAUCGCAAAGAAACAUUCGUAUUUGUGGGUGAAAAUGUCAUUGCUGCCGACUCAGAAGCAAAAGUCUAUUUAUUUAUUUAUUUGUGAUUUUAUUUAAAAAAAAAAGGGUAUAUUUUCGGUCGAAAGUACGCGAUUUGUUUGAGAAAAUGAAGUGACGGCGCAACUGUACAGUGGUCACAGUGGAUGAAUUUCGAACAACAAAGGUGUGCUCGUUGUGUUUCAAAGACUUGGAAUUUUCGAAGAAAAGUGAUCGUGUGAAGAUGAAAUACUGAUACUUUACUUGCCGUAAAUGCGAAUCAUUGCCAGUAGGAAGUAAAACACAUGGUCCCAUCGACUCACGAAAGAGUAAUCAUCUUUUGACGAAACAACGAGAACAUCGACCUCGUCCUGGACCACGUAUGGCAUCAAAAUUCCGACGCUACGAAGAAAAACGGACAAUUGUUAAACAAUUUGUUAAACAAUUCAAACAUAGGACGGUGUGCUGUAAUGAAUGAAGAACUACUACUCGUAGGCAUCCAUUCAGAACCAACAACCAAUACAAGGAACAUCGCGUUCUAUCCAAGAUCAAGCACGAAACUCUCGGUCGUAGGCCCUGGGUAUUGUGCGGGAUGUCAUCGUAUUCUUAUUAUAGCUACUUUUAGUAAGUAUUUAAAUUUAAUCCUACAGUGCUAACAUUUAAUCCUUUUGGAUUAUUUUUAUG